AGUGAACGCUGGCGGUAGGCCUAACACAUGCAAGUCGAACGGCAGCACAGUAAGAGCUUGCUCUUACGGGUGGCGAGUGGCGGACGGGUGAGGAAUACAUCGGAAUCUACUUUUUCGUGGGGGAUAACGUAGGGAAACUUACGCUAAUACCGCAUACGACCUACGGGUGAAAGCAGUAGAUCUUCGCACCUUGCGCGAUUGAAUGAGACGAUGUCGGAUUAGCUAGUUGGCGGGGUAAAGGCCCACCAAGGCGACGAUCCGUAGCUGGUCUGAGAGGAUGAUCAGCCACACUGGAACUGAGACACGGUCCAGACUCCUACGGGAGGCAGCAGUGGGGAAUAUUGGACAAUGGGCGCAAGCCUGAUCCAGCCAUACCGCGUGGGUGAUGAAGGCCUUCGGGUUGUAAAGCCCUUUUGUUGGGAAAGAAAAUCAGCAGGUUAAUACCCCGCUGUUCUGACGGUACCCAAAGAAUAAGCACCGGCUAACUUCGUG
This 492-nucleotide ribosomal RNA is filed under the name uncultured bacterium. RNAcentral's name for it is "partial 16S ribosomal RNA". It matches the Rfam family "Bacterial small subunit ribosomal RNA", at positions 29 to 507 of the family's 1533-position model. The record is from RNAcentral.